RNAcentral lists this ribosomal RNA (332 nucleotides) under uncultured bacterium. RNAcentral's name for it is "bacterial SSU rRNA". It matches the Rfam family "Bacterial small subunit ribosomal RNA", at positions 568 to 898 of the family's 1533-position model. The record is from RNAcentral.
UGCGUAGGCGGUUUGGUAAGUCUUGUGUGAAAUCUCCAGGCUCAACUUGGAGUCUGCACGAGAAACUGCCGGGCUUGAGUGUGGGAGAGGUGAGUGGAAUUCCUGGUGUAGCGGUGAAAUGCGUAGAUAUCAGGAGGAACACCUGUGGCGAAAGCGGCUCACUGGACCACAACUGACGCUGAUGCACGAAAGCUAGGGGAGCAAACAGGAUUAGAUACCCUGGUAGUCCUAGCCCUAAACGAUGACUGCUCGGUGUGACGGGUACCCAAUCCCGCCGUGCCGUAGCUAACGCGUUAAGCAGUCCGCCUGGGGAGUACGGUCGCAAGGCUGAA